This 107-nucleotide small nuclear RNA is filed under the name Jaculus jaculus (lesser Egyptian jerboa). Lineage: Eukaryota; Metazoa; Chordata; Mammalia; Rodentia; Dipodidae. The record is from RNAcentral.
GUGCUCACUUCAGCAGCAUAUAUACUAAAAUUGGAACGAUACAGAGAAGAUUACCAUGGCCCCUGCGCAAGGAUGACACGCAAAUUCAUGAAGCAUUCCAUAUUUUU